AUGGCUCAGGAUGAACGCUAGCUACAGGCUUAACACAUGCAAGUCGAGGGCAUCAUGCGGUUGCUUGCAACCGAUGAUGGCGACCGGCGCACGGGUGAGUAACGCGUAUCCAACCUUCCCCUUAGUAGGGCAUAGCCCGUAGAAAUGCGGAUUAACACCCUAUGUUCUUCAUGGAUGGCAUCUGACGUGAAGCAAAGUUUACGCUAAGGGAUGGGGAUGCGUCUGAUUAGGUUGCAGGCGGGUAACGGCCCACCUGGCCGACGAUCAGUAGGGGUUCUGAGAGGAAGGUCCCCCACAUUGGAACUGAGACACGGUCCAAACUCCUACGGGAGGCAGCAGUGAGGAAUAUUGGUCAAUGGGCGCGAGCCUGAACCAGCCAAGUAGCGUGCAGGAUGACGGCCCUAUGGGUUGUAAACUGCUUUUAUCAGGGGAUAAAGUCGGCUACGCGUAGCCGUUUGUAGGUACCUGAUGAAUAAGGACCGGCUAAUUCCGUGCCAGCCGCCGC
Molecule: ribosomal RNA, 505 nt
Filed under: uncultured bacterium
Lineage: Bacteria
Description: bacterial SSU rRNA
Rfam family: Bacterial small subunit ribosomal RNA
Source: RNAcentral